Molecule: long non-coding RNA, 11329 nt
Filed under: Theobroma cacao (cacao)
Lineage: Eukaryota; Viridiplantae; Streptophyta; Magnoliopsida; Malvales; Malvaceae
Description: long non-coding RNA (TCAC_LNC005353)
Source: RNAcentral
GAGUUUCAACUGAUUUUACAAAGGUCUAUUUUGAUUGUCUUAAGUACCUUUGUAAAGUGGCUUUUCUGGCUUCAAUAUGUGCCUUGACUUGUUUGUUUAAUUUCCAUGUAUAAUGACAUAGUGUGGCUACAUCAUCACAAUAAUAUCUGACAACAUUAAAACAAAUGAAUAAACAGAGACCGACCUAUCAAUGGAACAUAACCGACCUUCUAAGCUUUGAGUGGGUUGCUAGACACCUACUAAAGAAAGAAGAACGGAUCACGUCUUCGUGACUCGAGUGGCUGAAAGCUAUCACUAAUCUGCAACAAAAAUAAGGGAAACUAACUUGUGAGUCACAAAAACUUCAUGAGUGAAUACGGGAAGGGGACAAGCGAAGGGGGAGAGUUUUUGCACAAAUUACAUUGUUGAUGUAAACAUGAAUCUUCAUAUAAACAUACUUCAUUCUUUUCAAAGUUCUCACAAAAUAGAGCUCUUAUAAACCAAUCUUAAUUUCAUGGUAAAAUCGACAUUUCAUAAACAUAUAGUUCUUUAAAUAAGCUAAAAAUUUAUACAAAACCUUUAGGAAAAACAAGGAAGUUGUACCUUACUUGUGGCAUUGAAUCCUCCCUAUAGUUAUUUAAAUAAGCUGAACAUUUAUGCAAAACUUUUAGGUAAAACAAGGAAGUUGUACCUCACCUGUGGUAUCGGAUCCUCCCUAAAGGAAACAAUACUUAUCCAUAUAAACCCAAACUAUGGGUAAUUUCCUCCAAACUUUUCAUAAAGCAUAUGAGCUACUCAUGUACUCAAGGUUAUCUUAUAGGAUUAAAUCGUAACAUUUUUUAGAUCAUUUUCCAAUCCCUAUAACUCAAGCAUAAAUUUCCAAUCCAAUAUCUCAAGUAAUCAUAUUUUCUAAUCCCAAGAACUUAAAUAAUCAACUUUUGAUCCAUGGAACUCAAGUGGCCAUUCUUUCCUUAUAAUCCAUAAACUCAACCAAUGCAUUGGAACUUAUUUUACUGAUUAGUCUUUCUUGACUAUCUUAUAGCUUAGAGUUUAAUUUACAAUUGAAUCAAACAUUUCAACCACAAAAACAUCACAAUACAAGAGUAAUAUGCAAUAGUCAAGAAUGCAAGGAUGCCUACUAGGUUUUAGCCCACGUCUAGGCUAGGUGAGUGGCACAUCGGCCUCAUCAUGUUAAGCAAUGCCACCAUGUAGUGGAAUUUUACCUCACCAUGUGUGGGCAUCGCUCGAUACAUAUCAUUAAGCAUUGGCACCAUGAACGGAAUGUUACCUCACAUUGUGUGGAAACCCUAUCAUCAUCAUACUAAGCAUAAUUCACCACGGGUGGAAUGUUAUCUCACACCACGCAGAGCAUUAUCAUCAUCAUCGUACUAGACACAAUUCACUAGGUGCAGAAUAUUACCUAACACCAUGUGAAAGCUCUAGGAAACAUUCACAUGCAAUUAUUAUUCCAUUUUGACCAUCUUGAGCACCUUUGUAAAGUUGCUUUUCAGACUUCAAUAUGUGCUUUGACUUGUUUGUUUAAUUUCCAAGCCAUAAAAGUAAUUCAUUAAACCAAGAUCUAACAUUUCACAUUCAUCCUGCAACUCUGACUUGAGUUGAGAUACUACAACUUCAUCUUUUCCUAUAACAAGAAAAUCAUUAACACAUAUUAACACAAUCAAGUGAGUUGCUUCAUUAGACUUCAACAUAUACAAUGUAGCUUCAUUAUGACUUUUCUCAAGGCCUUGUAUCAGUAAGUGAGUAUCCAUUCUGUUGUACCAAGUUCAAAGAGCCUAUUUUAAGCCAUACAAGGAUUUACAAAGUUUAUAAACCUUGUUCUUAUUUUAUUCAAGUUUAAAUCCCUCUAGUUGUUCUAUGUAAAUCUUUUCCUCAAUAAUGCCUUUGAGAAACGUAGGUUUUACAUCAAAAUGAUGAACAUUCCAUCCUCGAGAUGCAGAUGAGUCAUGAAAUAAUCUAAUAGUAUCAUAUGUCACAUCUUAAUUUCAAGACCAUGAUCGUAGCAAAGGUCUAAUGGGAAAGGCCCACUCGACCUAAGCAAGCAUUAGAAUAACAAAUAAAAUCCAAGUAACAUAUUAUAAACUGUCAUGACCCGGCUCUCGGGGCCUAUGAUUGAUGCAAAGACCUACGUGGGUAUGGCCCACUAUAUCCAAGCAAGCCUUUCAAUGAUCAUGUGUGGGCUAGUCAUCCACCACAUUCAUUCAUACAAACAAUUAAUAUAUAUAAUCUCCUACAUGCAUGAGUGCCAUCACACUACUAUGGGACUUCUCAACAUAAGGUGUGGAAAUGCUUUCUUUCAUUAACAACAUUUGUAUAGCGUAUAUUUCAUAUCAACAUUCAUAUGCGCUCCUUGGUGCCUUAAGCCAUCAUCUAUCACAUUUGUAUAAAUCUAUGCAAGUGUAACACCAUCCAAUAUCUUCACAAUCAAAACAUGUUCAAUAGUAUUUAAACAUGAAUAUAAAGACUAACUCAUCAACGGAACAUUGCUCAACCCUCUAGGUUACAAGCGACUGCUAGAACACUUACCAAAAAGGAACAGAUCACCUUUCCUUGACAUGGGCUGUUGGAUAGCUAAUGAUUGAUUUGGAAAAAAAUGGGAAACUAAUGUGUGAAUCACAAAAACUCCAUGAGUGAAUAUGGGAAGUGAAAAAGCCAUUGAGGAAGAGUUUUUGCAAUAAUCCAAACUUUGCAAAAACGACAUGAAUUUCAUAAACAUCAUUACAAAUCCUUUCAAUGCUCAAAUAAAAUUAUUUCAAAUCAUUUCUUGUGAACACAAUUUAAAAUCCAAGUUAUUUAAACAUUUAGAUAAAACAUAUCUAUAACUCUAAAUACAAAACAUUUGCGAGGAGAAAACAAAAGAUUUCCAUAUCUUGGGUACCGACACCUUAGCCUUUGGUAACAAUACCAUUCUUGCUUACAAACUUCGUCGAUGGGUACUAUUCAUCACAUUUAAGUCUACAAUUUCUUUCUAGCACUCAUACUUGCUAAUUCUCUAAAUAAUCAUUCAACACAUGAACACACAAUUUGAACAUCUAAUUAAUCGUAUCAACAUUCCAUACUGGGACAACAUCAUCAAGCUCAUCUAUAAUUCAUAGUAUCAAAUUUCUUACAUAAUACUAAUGUCACGACCUGGUACUCCCCUCAAGCCCAUGACAACAGUCGCGGUGUCCCAAUAAACACUCAUUACUCGGAAUGCCAACUGGAACCCCGCAAGGCUUUAAUAUCAGUUUCUCAUUUUCCCUAUGAGUAACUGUUUCCAAAUAUCAUGUUCUAAAAGAUUUUAAACUAUUUCCAACUUAAAACAAUAAAAAAAUAAUUUUUGUCUCAUCGGGGUAUUUUAUUCAUUUUUUCCUAAAAAUUUCAAAACCAGGUAAUAAUGUAGUAUACGGGUGCAAAACACAUAUUUCAUAAUCAAAAAUAAAUUUGGAUGUCUAAAACAUUUUUUUAAAAUGAAAUUAUGACUAUUAGAAUAAAAUAAAAUAUUGAUUAAAAUAUUCAAUUUUCUCAUAAAAUAAUAUUUUUAGAACACUACGUAAAUAAUUUUUUACAACGUAAAAGCAAAAUAAAUUCAUGUAUACUGUAAUACAGUAAACCAAAGUAUUUAAUUUAAUUUACAGUAACAAGUGGGCCCUCGAAUAACCAAAAGUAUGAAAGACUGUGAAUUUACAAUUUGGAAGAUGCAAAUCCAGUGCUAGUCCUCGAUGAAAUGUCUAUCUAUAGACUAUCCUGAACCUGAAAUGGGUGGAAGUGAGGGUGGUGAGAUUAUAUAAUCCUAGUGAGUAAACAAAUAUCAUCUAAAAUAUCUAAAGCUGAGUAAAUGGAGACAGAUAAAAUAGAUUAGCAUAAUUAAUUCAUAACAUUUCAAACUCAUUUUUAUGAGAUAAAAUAAAUUUAUUUCAUCCAAAUAAUCAUUGAGGCUUAUGAUUUUCUGAAAAGCUUGGCUCGUGCAAAAAAAAAAAAAUCAUUAUUAUACUCAGUUAUCAAGGAUACUUUGGCCGAAAGCUAUCCCAACUGAGUCCGCCAAGGCUAUAAAAAAAAUUAUAUACACAUAAAUCAUGUUUUUAUUUUGAAAACAUAGUCGUUUCUUGCCGUUGGCCGAUUUCACCCUCACGUGGUGGUUUUGCAUGAAGUGAACUCUAAAGUGUUAACCUCAGAAGUUAUCCAACCGCGCCUCUCAUACUAAGGUAAGAUAUAACAGGGUUUACCGUGCCCCUUUAAUAAGCUGGUCCACGGAAACCCGCCCACUGCAGUAAACUAAUUGAUAUCCACCAAAUCAAUAAAAUUCCAACAGCAUGACGUGGUAAUUAUUUUACAACACAGCAUGUCAAGGCAAAACAACAAUUCAUACAUUUUCAGCACAUUUACCAAAUCCAGCCACUCAUGCCCACAUUAUCAUAAGCCAUUCAAUUCAAACCAUAAUUUACAACACAUCAAUUAGUCUCCAAUUACUCCAUUUUCCAAAACCAUCAUUCAAUUUCAAGACAAUUUUAUAAAAUCAUUUCAUUUAAUCACAUUUUGCUUUUAAAGCAUAAAGAUUUACCAUUUAAACUAAUUUUCCAUAAAAUCACGAAAACAAAUAAAAACUACUUUAGAUAAUCAAGAUGAUGAUAAGGUUACUCACAAUCUCUAAAGUGCGGAUUUUUGAAGUACUCUGACUACUGGUCCUCGGAUGCAAUUUCCUUGCCUUUAUCGGAGGACUCACCACCUUGACAUAGUACAUAAUGAAGAAACUUCCUACAUUGGUACUAAAUCAAAAUUAAACUAAUUUAGACUACUAAUGCAUGAUAUGGAAUGCAAAAUGCACGGGUAACCAUCUAAACCCGGUAUUGGGCUAAUUCGUCUUUUCACCCGAUUAAUUGGCCAACGCGUCUAAUUUAGCUUCAAAGUGCUCGAUUUCUUUUCCAAUACCUUAAUUCACCAAACAUAAGUCAAAUAACCUAAAAUUUGGCAAAAGCAUCUUCACUUUUCUUAGAAUUUUUGGUCAAUAAUGGUGCAUUAACACCGUGAUUUCUCCUACUACUUUUUCACACCAUAAUUCAUCAUUUUCUAACCAAUUCUCUUAAAAUAAAAAAAAUCAAUUUCAUCCUCACUCAAUGCAAGGUAGGUUCGACCAUUGAUGGGUGAUGGGGAAAAUGAAUUCUUUUCUUGUUGUUUUACUUCUAGACAUAGUAAACUAACUAAAAACACUAACAUAACUUGAAAUCAAAUCGAUCCAACAUCAUUAUCUCUCCAUACCCAUUCGGCUAGCCAUGAAUUCACCAUAAAAACAUGAAAUUGAACCAUGAAAAAUAAGGAGAAAUGCUUAAGGAAAAUAGAUUUCAAGUUGAAAUUGAGAAAUCCUACCUUUUUCACUUGUUUUCCUUGAUUUUUCUCACUUUUUUUCUUGAAAUUCUCCACCUAGGGUUUGUUAUUUCUUUGUUUCCCUCUUUUCCUUGCUUGGCCGAAUAUUUGGAGAGAAGUAAGAGGUUUAUAGGCUGAUUUUUAAAGGAAAUAAUAAAAUAUUAUAAGCUUGACAAGUGUCAUUUUAUUAUUGGUCCAUUUUUAAAACUUUAAAAAUUUAAACUUUUUAUCUCCACCAUAUAUAUUUUCUCACCUAUCCAUAACAUAAAAAGUCAAUGGAUUAAUUCUAUGAGCAUGACAAGUGUUGGUGGUGUAAAAUUACAAUUUUGCCAUUGGGGUGGCAAAAUUACCAUUUUACCCUUAUGCUCUGAAAAAUACCAGAAUUACAAUUUUUCACUUCUCAACCUCAAAUCAUACUCCAAUAAGUCAAAUGUGAUCAAAAUCUUUCAAAAAUCUUCCAUUUUGUCCUCGAUUGGCAAAAUUACCAUUUUGCCCCUAGAUAGUGGAAUUUUCGAUUUGACUCCAAAUUGAUCCUCGAACCCCAAAUCACCAUUUUAAAUCAUUCCUGGACUGUAAAAAUUUCAAUUUCACCUUAAAAUCUCUAUUUGAUCUAGUUCGAGGCUUAAAUCAAUUUUGUUGUACCUUUAGGUACAAUAUCGAUUUUUGUAAAUUUUUCAAGAGUCUCUUAGCAUGCAAACAUGCUAUCCAUCACACAUAUGUCAUGACAAGUAUUUUAUAAGGUCGGGCUUUAUAGCACUACCCCCCUUACAAUAAAAUUUUGACCUCAAAACUUCACUUACCGGAUUCCAAGAAAAGAUGUGGAUAUUGGUCUCUCAUCUGGUGCUCAACUUCCUACGUCAUCUCUUCCAUUCGAGCAUUUUGUGGCAUCCCCCUCGAGGGCCCACUCCAAUGUAUUGUUGUAUUCGGGUCCCCAUCACUUGACUUACUCGUAUUCACCACGCUUAACGAUGGCACCACAGGACUUGCAAGACCUUCUCACCAAGCUUCGAACUCAAGACCUUUUGCUACCUUCGAAGGGAACACCUUUAACCAUUGGGAUGUUUUUAUUCCUCAACACUCGAUCCUUUCGAUCUAAAAUACGUACGGGUUGCAUCUAAGUCAAAUCAUCCUUAAAUCAUCAAUCAUGCAUGUUUACUUAACUAUCCACAAUUUCUCUACCUUGACCUUUUAUCAAACCUUCCAACAUUCAAGCAUUUCAUAAUACAUAAGGAUCAAACACCUUUUAUUUAUCCAUAUAUAUAUAUUUAACAUCACAGAUAAUUAAAAUUUGAUAACCAUUAGUAACCAUAUUCUCAAAAAGAAACUCUCAUAUUUUAUGAUCAAGUACUUAUUAAGUAGAUCUCGACUAUUACCACAAUACGUUUAAAUAAAUAAAGAUACUUUUGGAUGUAUCCUUAUGGACUUAAUCAAUCCUUAAAAUUCCUAGGUCAUAACCAACUGGUUAGUUAUACGUCACAUACAAACAUAUUCAACUUGUGAUUCCUCAAAUUUACAUCCAAACACUAGAUCUCAUGGCCUCAUUAGUUUAUCAAUUUGGAAAUGAAAAUAAACAUUUAUCUCCCCUCACGUACACUUUAAAAUCAAAGUAUCAUUUAUUAAGAUUUUUCUGAUAUCAACUUCCUUCAAUCCCUUUUUCCUUAGAAGAUUAAAUCCAUAAUCAAUCAUUUUGAGUCAUGGGCUUAUGCCAAUCAAGGCGGAUUUUCACACCUUUGAUUACAUGAAUUCGAUUGCACAUAUUCACCUAUAAGCUAUAAACCUUUCCCCAAAUCUUUAUAUACCAAAGCUGAUAUAUUAUUUAUAUUAUUUCCAAUCAUAUGCUUGAGUUUCAUCAUGCUAUAUUCUCACAUCACAAUGUCAUUAAUCAUAUCUCACUUGCUAAAUGUCACUUAAAAACUUAGACUGAUUCGAAUCAUGCAUGCCUUAAGCAUUUUCAAAUUCCAAUUUCCAUACUAUUUUAGGAAAUUUUCAUUAUCAAGCUUCAUUAUCCAAAUUAUCUUCAUUCAUCCUUUGUUCUGUUCUUCCAUACUAAUGUGAUAUCAUUCUCCCUAGACCAAUCUGCAGUGUGUACUUAAAACUGUAAGACUUGAAAUAUGGUUCUUCUAAGUACUUUUCAAUGUCAAUACGAAUUUCACUUCCAACUUACGGCUUCCACUUUACAGCCACAUAACUUAAUGCUAGCUUCCAUAAAAUCCGUAGCAAAACUCUUCUUGAGUAUUUCCUUGGGAAUAUCUAUCUUAGACUUAUGUCUCACAGUAUAUGAUCACUUAACUUGUGACUUAGCCGUUAGGCUCCUCAACAAGUUUUACAAAUCUCACAUUUCGUACUUACCGUGUAUGAUUAGAAAUUGUUUUCUCAAAGAUGUUUAUGCAUUUGUAAAACACUUAAUCUUAAAGGUAUAUAAAUACGUACUCAUCCAUUCAAUCCCUAACUCAUCUUCAUAGGUUUCUAGGGUGCCACACAAUUGGCCUCAUGUUGUUACUAACCCUUGUCGUUUAACUGAAUCAAGACAAAAAUUGUAAAUUCUCGUAUUGAUAAUCUAUAUAAACUGGUUCUCUAUACUAGUCUUGUAAUUCUUCAUUCACACUUUCAUCACUUGGUAUCUUAUCUCAAGGUAGCCAUCUUAAGAAUUUUUCAAUUUUUAUUUUAAUUAUAUGCUCAUAGAGGAGGAGAUAAAGAAGCUUUCAAUUUAUUCAGGUAAACAUUCUCCAAAAUUUUUAAAACUCCCAAAUAAUAAAGUUUAAUGACCAAUAGCCAAAAUUCAAUUUGUAAGCUCAUUAUUGUGCCACUCCCAUCAUACUCGUGUAUCAUAGGCGUGAGGUAUUCAGAGCAUUGCAGCACUGGACAGUUAGUGUUGUGACGUUGUAACUAUUAGAAAUUUCCUCAUCAAAGCUAUUUGUCUGCAUUCAAAGUCACCACAUCAAUCAUUCUCAACUAGUGGGUUUCCCUUCUAGACAUAUAUCAUGAGUACCAUAAGCAUAGGUACCUUCUAUUUUCUUGUCAUACACACUAAGCCAAGUCGAUACUUUCAACUCAUGUCAUCUUUUGACUUUCAUCAUCAUUCAUAAAAUCCCACCUUAAAACAUCCUUUCCAUACGGUGUAAUGAAUUCAUGAUACAUAUACCACCUCACUUUAUUCUCGCAAUCCUUAUUAAAUCAAAAUUUCAUAUUCCCCAUAUUCAAUAAUUUAACUUCAUUGGGCUAUAUUUGUGCCCAAUUAUUAUCUCAUAAUGUCAUGGCAUCACUGAGUAAUCCCUUUCAUGCUUAAAUUACAAUCAUCAACUUAAUCACGUUAUCCAUUCUGAAUGUCAUUUACAACCUUAUUGCUUCUUCCUAUACCCUUCCUCAAUAAUUAUAUUACCAAUUUAUCUUUGUCAUACAAAAAAAAAAUUGCCUUACACAUCUAGUCAUUUAAACAGCUACUUUAUAAUCCAUUAUAGUCAUACACUUUAAAAGCCAAACUAUUAACUUCUUUGCACAGAUAACUAUUAUCUCCUUUACACUACAUCUACCUAGAGUUAAAGUAGUACAAAAUCCUACGAAAAUAUUACAUGUCAUUGGGAUCAUCAUCUUAAUCUGAUCUUAUCGGAAGAUUUUACUCCAAGUCCUUCUUAAGAUCCUUUUCCGGGUUCUCCUCUUCCUGUGAUUUUCUCCUUUGCUUCUCAAUCCAAGGUUGUUGUAUUCUCCUACAUUCCUCAUAACUCACCGGUGCAGCAUUUCUUCCACAACCGGGAGGAAAAUGUCGUACAACGUUCACCUUCAUAAGGGGAUAAUUUGUAAUAGUUACUUUCUCCUUAUUCUUUUCUUGUUGUUCAUUCACAUUCAUCCCAUAGCCUAGAGGAUAGUGUCGAACAACUGACACGCUCUUCCUAGAACGAAUAUAUCCCCUUUCAAUUUCCUCCCUCGUCCAUUCUCUAUGGUACUCUUUAGGUUGUUUCAAAAGAAAAUUUCUUACAGUUUUUGGAGUAUCGGAGCUAUCCUCACUUUCAAGACUCUCGGUACUUUCAAAGCUUUCUUUAUUACGAAACCAUUCUGCUAAGUUCGGAGGAAUUCUAUUAGUAGGAAUUCGGGAUGGACCCCUUUCAGAAUUAUUUGGAUUAGGGCGCCAUUGGCUUCUAGCAGUGGAAACUAAUGAUCCCUCACUAGCACUAUGAUGAGGGGUACCGGGACUACUGCCUCUUCUAGACAUGGUGUGUAUGUCACCAGUGCACCUCAAAACCUAUACGCAACCAAGUAAUAAUUACUUAAUCAUUCAUGCAUCACAAGAGUAGGUAGGUUUCUAUAUGUAGAUGCAUGCAUUCUAUUCAAUCUAACCUAACUUAACUUAGGGCCACACCAACACUGUAAAUUUUUAAAACAAAUUUAAAACAAAAGCUCUGAUAUUUAAAACCAAAUGCUCUGAUACCAAUCGAAUUGUCACUACCUAGUACUCCCCUCGAGCUUGUGACAACCGUCGUGAUGUCCCGAUAGAUACUCAUUACCCGAAAUGCCAACCGGAACCCCGCAAGGCUUUAAUAUCAUUUUCUCAUUUUCCCAGUGAGUAACCGUUGCCAAAUAUCACGUUCUAAAAGAUUUUAAACUAUUUCCAACUUAAAACAAUAAAAAAAUAAUUUUUGUCUCACCGGGGUAUUUUAGUCAUUUUUCUCUGAAAAUUUUGAAACCAACUAAUAAUGUAGUAUACGGAUGCAAAACACAUAUUUCGUAAUCAAAAAUAAAUUUGGAUGUCUAAAACAUUUGUUUAAAAUGAAAUUAUGACUAUUAGAAUAAAAUAAAAAUAUUAAAUAAAAUAUUCAAUUUUCUCAUAAAACAAUAUUUUUAGAACAUUGCGUAAAUAUUUUUUUACAGCGUAAAAGCAAAAUAAAUUCAUAUAUACUGUAAUACAGUAAACAAAAGUAUUUAAUUUAAUUUACAGUAACAAGUGAGCCCUCAAAUAACCAAAAGUAUGAAAGACUGUGAACCUACAAUUUGGAAGAUGCAAAUCUAAUGCUAGUCCUCGACGAAAUGUGGUAUCUAUGGACUAUCCUGAACCUGAAAUGGGUGGAAGUGAGGGUGGUGAGAUUAUAUAAUCUCAGUGAGUAAACAAAUAUCAUCUAAAAUAUCUAAAGCUGAGUAAAUGGAGACAGAUAAAAUAGAUUAGCAUAAAAUAAUUCAUAGCAUUUCAAACUCAUUUUUAUGAGAUAAAAUAAAUUUAUUUCAUCCAAAUAAUCAUUGAGGCUUAUGAUUUUUUGAAAAGCUUGGCUCGUGCAAAAAAAAUCAUUACCAUACUCAGUUAUCAGGAAUACCUUGACUGAGGGCUAUCCCAACUAAGUCCGCCAAGCCUGUAAAAAAAAUUAUAUACACAUAAAUCAUGUUUUUAUUUUGAAAACAUAGCCGUUUCUUGGCAUUGGCCGAGUUCACCAUCACGUGGUGGUUUUGCAUGAAGUGAACUCUAAAGUGUUAACCUCAAGCGUUAUCCACCUACGCCUCUCUACUGAGGUAAGAUAUAAUGGGGUUUACCUUGCCCUUCUAACAGGCUGGUCCACGAAAACCCGCCCAUUGCAAUAAGCUAAUUGAUAUCCACCAAAUCAAUAAAAUUCCAACAGCAUGACGUGGUAAUUAUUUUACAACACAGCAUGUCAAGGCAAAACAACAGUUCAUACAUUUUCAGCACAUUUACCAAAUCCAGCCACUCAUGCCCACAUUAUCAUAAGCCAUUCAAUUCAAACCAUAAUUUACAACACAACACUUAGUCUCCAAUUACUCCAUUUUCCAAAACCAUCAUUCAAUUUCAAGACAAUUUUAUAAAAUCAUUUCAUUUAAUCACAUUUUGCUUUUAAAACAUAAAGAUUUACCAUUUAAACUCAUUUUCCAUAAAAUCACAAAAACGAAUAAAAACUACUUUAGAUAAUCAAGAUGAUGAUAAGAUUACUCACAAUGUCUAGAGUGCGGAUUUUCAAAGUACUCUAACUACUGGUCCUCGGAUGCAAUUUCUUAC